Molecule: unclassified non-coding RNA, 250 nt
Filed under: plant metagenome
Description: partial contains small subunit ribosomal RNA, internal transcribed spacer 1, and 5.8S ribosomal RNA
Source: RNAcentral
GUAGGUGAACCUGCGGAAGGAUCAUUAACACUUGCCUCCACGUGUCCAAAUCACCUUUGGGCAUAAACCCCUUUAUAUGUGAACUGUUCUUGGUGUUUUUGUUCUUUUUCUUUUUGGGUUUUUUGGAGUAGAUUUGGUUUCAGGCCAUUAUUGUUAUGAUGAUGGUUAUUGGAUUUCCAGAUCGGACGCUUCAACUAUCUAAAAAAUAAGAACAAAAUCAUCUUUUGCUUUUUCUAUUUUAUUAUCAUUU